UAGAUUAAAGUCCGCCGGUUUGGACAGCUAGCUGUUAAUUAGUUUUUGUGGGAUCGAGGCCCGCUGGUCUAG
RNAcentral lists this transfer RNA (72 nucleotides) under Gonyosoma frenatum. Its description in RNAcentral is "tRNA-Asn". It matches the Rfam family "tRNA". From Rfam's summary of the family: Transfer RNA (tRNA) molecules are approximately 80 nucleotides in length. Their secondary structure includes four short double-helical elements and three loops (D, anti-codon, and T loops). The record is from RNAcentral. Lineage: Eukaryota; Metazoa; Chordata; Lepidosauria; Squamata; Colubridae.